GUAUACUUAAAAAGUCUACUUUUACUCUAUUUUGAAAGUGAGUUUACUUUCUUUUUUUGUUUUUAAUGAAUAGGACUCAGGAUUUAAAGACAAAAAAGCAUCAUAUUCCAGUGAUUGAUCGAACUCCACUAGAGCCCCCACCAAUAGUGGUAGUGGUGAUGGGGCCUCCAAAGUUGGAAAGAGCACUUUGAUAUAAUGCCUCAUUCAGAACUUCAUUGGCAGAAGUUGACUGAGAUCAGAGGCCCUGUGACGAUUGUGUCAGGUAAAAAGCGCAGACUCACCAUUAUUGAAUAUGGGUGUGACAUUAACAUGAUGAUUGAUCUGGCUAAAGUAGCAGAUCUGCAAAAAUAAAAUACAAAUUAGCAAAAAAGAAAAAAAAAGUCCAGAUGCAGUGGCUCACACCUGUAAUCCCAGCACUUUGGGAGGCUGAAGUGGGCGGAUCACCUGAGGUUGGGAGUUCGAGACCAGCCUGACCAACAUGCAGAAACCCCGUCUCUACUAAAAAUACAAAAUUAGCCAGGUGAGGUGGCGUAUGCCUAUAAUCCCAGCUACUUAGGAGGCUGAGGCAGGAGAAUCGCUUCAGCCUGGGAGGCGGAGGUUGUGGUGAGCCAAGAUCGCGCCAUUGUACUCCAACCUGGGCAACAAGAGCGAAAUUUCAUCUACAAAAAAAAAAAAAAAAAAAAAAAUUAGCAAAAAAAUAAGCCAUAUUGAUUAGGAAGUGUGAGGUGACAGAUAGCUUGGUUUUUUCAUUUUUAUUUAGUUUUUUCUAGAGCUACAGAUUCUAUACUUUGGCCCAGGGAAACUCCUAAAAUAUAAAGUAAAAAGUAAUACAGAUUUUAAAGUUAUACCAUUGUAAUGUCAGAAAACUAAAUAAUGUUCAAAUUUUGAACAUGUAAUGCUACUAUUAGUAAAAAUAAGUGUUAUUAAUGUAAAGUUGUGUAAAGAUUACUAAAUCUUGUAUACUUGAAAUGAUUGAAAUAGUUCAUAGAAGUCAUUUGUUUCUCUUUUAUUUAAAACGUAGCAAGUUUCUAAUUUUAAAGAUAUACAUAUUAAGAGAUGCCUUUACUUUUUUUAUUUUAGUUGUUAUGGAUACAUAAUAGUUGUACAUAUUUAUGGGGUACACGUAGUAUUUUGAUAGAAGCAUACAAUGUGUGAUGAUCAAAUCAGGGUAAUUCAGAUAUCCGUCGCUUCAAACAUUUAUCAUUUCUUUGUGUUAGGAACAUUUUAAUUUCAUUCUUUUAGUUAUUCUGAAUUAUAUAAUAAAUUAUAGUCACCCUGGUGUGCUGUUGGACACUAGAAUUUAUUCCAGCUGUAUUUUUUUCUUUUUUUUUUAUCAUUAUUAUACUUUAAGUUUUAGGGUACAUGUGCACAAUGUGCCGGUUAGUUACAUAUGUAUACAUGUGCCAUGCUGGUGUGCUGCACCCAUUAACUCGUCAUUUAGCAUUCGGUAUGUCUCCUAAUGCUAUCCCUCCCCCCUUCCCACACCCCACAACAGUCCCCAGAGUGUGAUGUUCCCCUUCCUGCGUCCAUGUGUUCUCAUUGUUCAAUUCCCAUCUAUGAGUGAGAACAUGUGGUGUUUGGUUUUUUUGUCCCUGCAAUAGUUUACUGAGAAUGAUGAUUUCCAAUUUCAUCCAUGUCCCUACAAAGGACAUGAACUCAUCAUUUUUUUAUGGCUGCAUAGUAUUCCAUGGUGU
Molecule: long non-coding RNA, 1694 nt
Organism: Pan paniscus (pygmy chimpanzee)
Lineage: Eukaryota; Metazoa; Chordata; Mammalia; Primates; Hominidae
Source: Ensembl